CGGACGGGUGAGUAAUGUCUGGGAAACUGCCUGAUGGAGGGGGAUAACUACUGGAAACGGUAGCUAGUACCGCAUAACGUCGCAAGACCAAAGAGGGGGACCUUAGGGCCUCUUGCCAUCGGAUGUGCCCAGAUGGGAUUAGCUAGUAGGUGGGGUAACGGCUCACCUAGGCGACGAUCCCUAGCUGGUCUGAGAGGAUGACCAGCCACACUGGAACUGAGACACGGUCCAG
This 232-nucleotide ribosomal RNA is filed under the name uncultured bacterium. Its description in RNAcentral is "partial 16S ribosomal RNA". It matches the Rfam family "Bacterial small subunit ribosomal RNA", at positions 99 to 334 of the family's 1533-position model. The record is from RNAcentral.